Molecule: ribosomal RNA, 497 nt
Filed under: uncultured bacterium
Lineage: Bacteria
Description: partial 16S ribosomal RNA
Rfam family: Bacterial small subunit ribosomal RNA
Source: RNAcentral
GACGAACGCUGGCGGCGUGCCUAAUACAUGCAAGUUGAGCGCUGAAGGUUGGUACUUGUACCAACUGGAUGAGCAGCGAACGGGUGAGUAACGCGUGGGGAAUCUGCCUUUGAGCGGGGGACAACAUUUGGAAACGACUGCUAAUACCGCAUAAAAACUUUAAACACAAGUUUUAAGUUUGAAAGAUGCAAUUGCAUCACUCAAAGAUGAUCCCGCGUUGUAUUAGCUAGUUGGUGAGGUAAAGGCUCACCAAGGCGAUGAUACAUAGCCGACCUGAGAGGGUGAUCGGCCACAUUGGGACUGAGACACGGCCCAAACUCCUACGGGAGGCAGCAGUAGGGAAUCUUCGGCAAUGGACGAAAGUCUGACCGAGCAACGCCGCGUGAGUGAAGAAGGUUUUCGGAUCGUAAAACUCUGUUGGUAGAGAAGAACGUUGGUGAGAGUGGAAAGCUCAUCAAGUGACGGUAACUACCCAGAAAGGGACGGCUAACUACGUG